CAGGUGCUGACACGGAUGUAUCUUGAUACUGAGGGAUUUUUUAAGUUGAGUUACCAAGAUGUUGACUGGUUUGAGAUUGAUACACCAACAACAGAAACACAGACAAUUCCUGUUGACAUACGGAGUGGUCUGUUUGCUUAGUCAUUGCAUAACUUCUGUUGUUUCACUUGGUCGCGACAUAGCUGUGCCAGCAGAAGAUUAUAAAGAAAAA
Molecule: long non-coding RNA, 211 nt
Organism: Limulus polyphemus (Atlantic horseshoe crab)
Lineage: Eukaryota; Metazoa; Arthropoda; Merostomata; Xiphosura; Limulidae
Exons: 2
Source: RefSeq, a predicted model, not a curated record